RNAcentral lists this ribosomal RNA (447 nucleotides) under uncultured bacterium. RNAcentral's name for it is "bacterial SSU rRNA". It matches the Rfam family "Bacterial small subunit ribosomal RNA", at positions 29 to 469 of the family's 1533-position model. The record is from RNAcentral.
AGUGAACGCUGGCGGCAGGCCUAAUACAUGCAAGUCGAACGGCAGCACAGCAGAGCUUGCUCUGUGGGUGGCGAGUGGCGGACGGGUGAGGAAUACAUGGGAAUCUGCCCAGUCGUGGGGGAUAACGUAUGGAAACGUACGCUAAUACCGCAUGCGCCCUACGGGGGAAAUCGGGGACCGCAAGGCCUGACGCGAUUGGAUGAGCCCAUGUUCGAUUAGCUAGUUGGCGGGGUAAAGGCCCACCAAGGCGACGAUCGAUAGCUGGUCUGAGAGGAUGAUCAGCCACACUGGAACUGAGACACGGUCCAGACUCCUACGGGAGGCAGCAGUAGGGAAUAUUGGACAAUGGGGGCAACCCUGAUCCAGCCAUGCCGCGUGAGUGAAGAAGGCCCUCGGGUUGUAAAGCUCUUUUGUCCGGAAAGAAAAGCAAUCGGUUAAUACCCGGUU